GACGAACGCUGGCGGCGUGCCUAAUACAUGCAAGUAGAACGCUGAAGAGAGGAGCUUGCUCUUCUUGGAUGAGUUGCGAACGGGUGAGUAACGCGUAGGUAACCUGCCUUGUAGCGGGGGAUAACUAUUGGAAACGAUAGCUAAUACCGCAUAACAAUGGAUGACACAUGGCAUUUAUUUGAAAGGGGCAAUUGCUCCACUACAAGAUGGACCUGCGUUGUACUAGCUAGUAGGUGAGGUAAUGGCUCACCUAGGCGACGAUACAUAGCCGACCUGAGAGGGUGAUAGGCCACCCUGGGACGGAGACACGGCCCAGACGCCUACGGGAGGCAGCAGUAGGGAAUCUGCGGCAAUGGGGGGAACCCUGACCGAGCAACGCCGAGUGAGUGAAGAAGGUUCUCGGAUCGGAAAGCUCUGUUGUAAGUCAAGAACGGGUGUGAGAGUGGAAAGUUCACACUGUGACGGUAGCUUACCAGAAAGGGACGGCUAACUACGUG
Molecule: ribosomal RNA, 497 nt
Filed under: uncultured bacterium
Lineage: Bacteria
Description: partial 16S ribosomal RNA
Rfam family: Bacterial small subunit ribosomal RNA
Source: RNAcentral